Non-coding RNA from Phrynosoma platyrhinos (Desert horned lizard), 74 nucleotides. The record is from the annotation of a GenBank genome assembly. Lineage: Eukaryota; Metazoa; Chordata; Lepidosauria; Squamata; Phrynosomatidae.
GCCAGCAUGGUGUAAUGGUUUGAAUGUUGGGACUGUGACACCGGAAGACCAGGGUUCGAAUCCCUGCUGAGCCA